CUGCCCUUUGUACACACCGCCCGUCGCUACUACCGAUUGAAUGGCUCAGUGAGGCCUUCGGACUGGCCCAGGGAGGUUGGAAACGACCGCCCAGGGCCGGAAAGUUGUUCAAACUCGGUCAUUUAGAGGAAGUAAAAGUCGUAACAAGGUUUCCGUAGGUGAACCUGCGGAAGGAUCAUUA
Molecule: ribosomal RNA, 181 nt
Filed under: Arthroderma thuringiense
Lineage: Eukaryota; Fungi; Ascomycota; Eurotiomycetes; Onygenales; Arthrodermataceae
Description: Arthroderma thuringiensis partial 18S ribosomal RNA
Rfam family: Eukaryotic small subunit ribosomal RNA
Source: RNAcentral